AGAGUUUGAUCCUGGCUCAGAACGAACGCUGGCGGCGUGCUUAACACAUGCAAGUCGAACGCGAAAGGGACUUCGGUCCUGAGUAAAGUGGCGCACGGGUGAGUAACGCGUGGAUAAUCUACCCAAUGAUCCGGGAUAACAUUUCGAAAGGGGUGCUAAUACCGGAUAAGACCACGGAGUCUCUGGAUUCUGCGGUAAAAGGUGGGGACCUUCGGGCCUACCGUCAUCGGAUGAGUCCGCGUACCAUUAGCUAGUUGGCAGGGUAAUGGCCUACCAAGGCAACGAUGGUUAGCUGGUCUGAGAGGAUGAUCAGUCACACUGGAACUGAGACACGGUCCAGACUCCUACGGGAGGCAGCAGUGGGGAAUAUUGGACAAUGGGCGAAAGCCUGAUCCAGCCAUGCCGCGUGUGUGAAGAAGGUCUUCGGAUUGUAAAGCACUUUAAGUUGGGAGGAAGGGUUGUAGAUUAAUACUCUGCAAUUUUGACGUUACCGACAGAAUAAGCACCGGCUAACUCUGUGCCAGCAGCCGCGGUAAUACAGAGGGUGCAAGCGUUAAUCGGAAUUACUGGGCGUAAAGCGCGCGUAGGUGGUUUGUUAAGUUGGAUGUGAAAUCCCCGGGCUCAACCUGGGAACUGCAUCCAAAACUGGCAAGCUAGAGUAUGGUAGAGGGUGGUGGAAUUUCCUGUGUAGCGGUGAAAUGCGUAGAUAUAGGAAGGAACACCAGUGGCGAAGGCGACCACCUGGGCUAAUACUGACACUGAGGUGCGAAAGCGUGGGGAGCAAACAGGAUUAGAUACCCUGGUAGUCC
RNAcentral lists this ribosomal RNA (809 nucleotides) under uncultured bacterium. RNAcentral's name for it is "bacterial SSU rRNA". It matches the Rfam family "Bacterial small subunit ribosomal RNA", at positions 8 to 796 of the family's 1533-position model. The record is from RNAcentral.